CCUUGGUCCAUAAGCUUCUCAUCAUGUUCCUGUAGAAUUAGUUUGUCUUUACAUAACCUGGAAAGUUUCUAUGAUAUGUGUACAUUCUCUGCAAAAAAAUAAAAGACGUCUGCCUAGUUUCUUACCAAUAUUAAUCAACAAUACCCAAUAAGUUAACACAUUAUUGCUCCCACAAAAUAAAAGAAGUUAUUUCCGAUGCAUUGGUAUGGAGACUUAUCCAUGUGCUUAUAAGUUGUACUGAUAGGAUAUGAGACCAUUUUAGCUACUGAUCUCCCUGCAAUAUUAUGAAUGCAAGUGCAAAGAAUAAUACAUUGUCAACAUUUCAAGGAUCAAUUGGCCUAAUCAUAUUUGUUUUCUUCUAGGUAAACCUGCAAUAUCACCUAUACAUGCUUCUCCAGCAUCACCAGCAAAAUCAGCCGAUGCUUCACGUGGCAAGAACAAGACCUUCUUCUUAGCAAAGUGGUUUGGUUUUGGGAAGUGAGUUAUUAAAUCUGCUAAAAUAUUAGUAAUUUCGAUCAUGCAAUGCUUAAAUUUAGUCUGAGAACUGUCAAGCGAUAGAAAGUGAUUCUAUUUUUACAACAUUAAUAGGGAAUUUUCAAAAUGUUUGGAGAGCUUUUUUGGUUGUUGGUCUUAUUUAAUUGAUUUUUUGUGUCUCUGGACCAGGCUGUUUCCACAUGCUACAAUGUUUUCUUUUUUUACUUCUGGAUGUAUUUGGUUGGUUUUUUUCCUAUGUUAAUCUCUGUAGACCUUGAAAUCCUUAUGGUAGAGUUAAUCUACAUGUGAUUUUAUACGAGAAAAAUAUGAAAUAAGAAUAAGAACACCUAAAACUUGUAUAUGUAGACUAUCCUCUGUUUUUCGAAUUACAAGUAUACUAGCUAGUGAAGUUAAAAUUAGAUUUUUCUUGUAUCAAUCUUUAUAUUAUCUUUCAGCACAUAGUUAUGCAUCCCAUAAUAAUUCCUGCAUAACUAGUGUGAUUACUUCAUGAAACGAUCUGCCUUACUUAUGCCCAGUUCGCUACUGCAUAAAUGAUACUUACACCAGUAAAGUAGGCAAAUAUCCCACAACAACCAGAGGAAUGAAUAAACAUCCUAGGCAUUUGUCUAGCUUUAUAUUUCACAUAACAUUAUCUCUGUGGAAAAUUGAUAGUUAUUGCUGGUUAAAAGAGCAUAUUUUUAUUCUAAUUUAUGAAGUAGUCAAGUCAUUAUCCAUUCUGAACAUGGAAUUUUUUCAGUUAUUCUAAUUUGUCUCCCAUCAAAAAAUAGAUAUUUAUGUAACCUGAUUUCUUCCCAUGAAAAUGCUUGAUGAUCAAGUAUAUUUUCUUCCUUGAAUAACAGCCAGUGUUCAGAUUUAUAUACCUUCAUUUAUUUCAUUCUUUUUAACACUAAUGUCAAAAGGUCUAUCCAGCCAUAAAUAAUACUGUUAUCAAUCAAAUUUAUCAAUAGGCUAACCAACCUUAAGUAGGACUAUGGCCAGACUGUAGAAAAGCUAUGAUUUAAAGUCUCCAGCACAUCUUUUCACUUGUUUUAUUGGCCUGAGCCAAAAAAUUUCUGGUAGAACUCCAGUGUAUUGAAUCUCCCAUACUUUAUCAUUUGUUUUGUCUUAUCUUCAGAGGUUCCUCAUUUUGUACUCCACCUCUGCCCACAUCCCUUUUAGAAAAUAUGAUAAAUUACUGAUCAUCAAAUCAUUGCACAAUAAAU
RNAcentral lists this long non-coding RNA (1697 nucleotides) under Solanum tuberosum (potato). RNAcentral describes it as "long non-coding RNA (STUB_LNC004085)". The record is from RNAcentral. Lineage: Eukaryota; Viridiplantae; Streptophyta; Magnoliopsida; Solanales; Solanaceae.